AUGGAGAUGGAGUACUCGACCCAGGAUGUGAGGCCACUGACUAAGACAAACAAUAGAGGGCCGAGGAAGCGCUUGGUUGACCAAGAUGGUAUAGUUAAUACCCAAGAGCAGCCAGCGGUGCUGAUUAAGCUCGGUACGGUUGCCGGAAAGGUGCUGCUAAUUGAGGGUGCGCCACCGGCGACUAUGGAUGAUAAGGAGGCUAUGACACCGGGUAAGGUACCAAUCGUGAAGAGAAGGAGACAAGGUGAAGAAGGAGAGAGUGUUGACGAUACUAUGAGUGAGGCGACCUCCCUUGAGGAUCGGCGACCCCGCGAUGGUUCAUGA
This 324-nucleotide ribosomal RNA is filed under the name Triticum aestivum (bread wheat). RNAcentral's name for it is "partial small subunit ribosomal RNA". The record is from RNAcentral. Lineage: Eukaryota; Viridiplantae; Streptophyta; Magnoliopsida; Poales; Poaceae.